Molecule: ribosomal RNA, 969 nt
Filed under: Triticum aestivum (bread wheat)
Lineage: Eukaryota; Viridiplantae; Streptophyta; Magnoliopsida; Poales; Poaceae
Description: partial small subunit ribosomal RNA
Source: RNAcentral
AUGGUGUUCUCACCGACUGAGCUAGUUGUCAUCCUCCCGGAGUCGUUUACGGAAUGCCCUUUCAUGGACAUUGAGCUGCCUUGCUUCCGAGGCACCACCUCAAUCGAGCUGGACGCCGCGUUCAUGCGCAUCAAGCCGACACCCAUGGCCGAAUUCACCGCGCUCGAGAGGCUGUCCCUCAAGGGAAAAAUCGACAACCUUGGCGCCGUGCUUGACCGCUGCCCAUGCCUACGCGUGCUCGCAGUCGCCUUCCGCGUUGUGGAUUCUGCCUUGGUCGAAUCAGCACUCGCCUGGAUCCAGGAGCUUGAUGUCCGGGCAUUCAUGGAAUGUUCGAGCAUCGAUAUAGUGGUUCCGGUGCUUAAGCAACUGAAGCUCGGUGUACGGGCCAACAUGGAACUCAGCAUGUCCAUCUCGACGCCAAUGGUGGAGAAUAUCUCAUUCCAGCGCCAUUACACAGGGUUCCCUCUUGUAUUUGAUUGUUCGUUGCCUCAAGGAAUAAGGCUGGAGACGUUACCCACUAACAACGGGAAAGGACAUCUACCUUCUGUUCAUGUCCUGAUUUUGCACAUGUCUGCCUGUGGUCAUAUAGGUGCACAGCUAGACUUUACGCAGGAGAUGGAUAAACUUCUAUUUAUGAACUUCUCUGUGCUGGAGCUACAUCUCACAGCAAUGGAGCAUGUUUCGGGAGGACUCGUGUCACGCCUCCUCAAGAUGCAUCAUGUUCAAACAGGUACACAAAGGCUUAAGGUCAACCUAUAUUAUUACUACGGGGAGAGAGAAGCAUGCGGAAAUUGUCCUUGCGACGAACCUAAGAACCGGAUAAUCCAAAGUAUCUCAAUGCCUCGUCUUAAAGGAGUGGAAAUAUGUGGCUUCAAAGGAGAGCAUUGCCAGCUUGAUUUCUUGACAUUGAUAUGCAGAUGCGCUCCAAUGCUUAGAACAAUGAAUGUGAAGUUGGCGAAAGGGGCUUAA